GUUUCUGUAGCUCAGCUGGUAGAGCAAGUGACUCUUAAUCACUGGGUCCCGAGUUCGAUCCUCGGCGGGAACA
This 73-nucleotide transfer RNA is filed under the name Bacteroidota bacterium. RNAcentral's name for it is "Bacteroidetes bacterium (activated sludge metagenome) tRNA-Lys". It matches the Rfam family "tRNA". Rfam says of the family: Transfer RNA (tRNA) molecules are approximately 80 nucleotides in length. Their secondary structure includes four short double-helical elements and three loops (D, anti-codon, and T loops). The record is from RNAcentral. Lineage: Bacteria; Pseudomonadati; Bacteroidota.